RNAcentral lists this ribosomal RNA (264 nucleotides) under uncultured Eubacteriales bacterium. Its description in RNAcentral is "uncultured Clostridiales bacterium partial 16S ribosomal RNA". It matches the Rfam family "Bacterial small subunit ribosomal RNA", at positions 74 to 339 of the family's 1533-position model. The record is from RNAcentral. Lineage: Bacteria; Bacillati; Bacillota; Clostridia; Eubacteriales.
CUUGCUCUUUCCGGAAUUGAGUAGCAAACGGGUGAGUAACACGUAAACAACCUGCCUUCAGGAUGGGGACAACAGUUGGAAACGACUGCUAAUACCGCAUGACACAUAGGUGUCGCAUGGCACUUAUGUCAAAGAUUUAUCGCUGAAAGAUGGCCUCGCGUCUGAUUAGCUAGUUGGUGAGGUAACGGCCCACCAAGGCGACGAUCAGUAGCCGGACUGAGAGGUUGAACGGCCACACUGGAACUGAGACACGGUCCAGACACC